GACGAACGCUGGCGGCGUGCCUAACACAUGCAAGUCGAACGGAACUGUUUUGAAAGAUUUCUUCGGAAUGAAUUUGAUUUAGUUUAGUGGCGGACGGGUGAGUAACGCGUGAGUAACCUGCCUUCAAGAGGGGAAUAACAUUCUGAAAAGAAUGCUAAUACCGCAUGACAUAUCGGAACCACAUGGUUUUGAUAUCAAAGAUUUUAUCGCUUGAAGAUGGACUCGCGUCCGAUUAGUUAGUUGGUGAGGUAACGGCUCACCAAGACCGCGAUCGGUAGCCGGACUGAGAGGUUGAACGGCCACAUUGGGACUGAGACACGGCCCAGACUCCUACGGGAGGCAGCAGUGGGGGAUAUUGCGCAAGGGGGGCAACCCUGACGCAGCAACGCCGCGUGAAGGAUGAAGGUUUUCGGAUUGUAAACUUCUUUUAUUAAGGACGAAAAAUGACGGUACUUAAUGAAUAAGCUCCGGCUAACUACGUG
Molecule: ribosomal RNA, 482 nt
Filed under: uncultured bacterium
Lineage: Bacteria
Description: partial 16S ribosomal RNA
Rfam family: Bacterial small subunit ribosomal RNA
Source: RNAcentral